GUGAGUGCUAACAGAACUACUGAAUCGUAUUUAACUUCGAGAAAAUCACAUUUUGUGGAGAAAAUCAAUAGAUGGAAAUCAUAACUGAUCCAUCCACCCGAACCUGCACAUCCAGCUUAUUGAGCUUAAUGACGUCGUAACCUUGAUGAGAAACCUUGGCUGAAUUCGACGUCCUCUUAAGUCGUGUGUCAUUCCUCAUAUCUACGCAUCCGGAUGGCUGGAGGACCAUACAUUUCUUAUCCGUUCAAAUAAAUUCGUCAUCAUCAUGUUGGGAAGAGUUUGCGCCGGACACCUUCAGGAAACACAUACAAACAAGUUAGAGGACUUUACAUUUUUAGCAAACACAACCUUACGAAUAUUGUUCGAAAAAAUAUUUCAGUAUUUGUAUGUAUGUAAGAAUCUAUGAGAUUGAAUUCUCUUACCGUCAUUGGUCACGAACUUCAAUUUUAAGAAGUAACUACUUAAAUGAACCAACUUCGAGAUGGUACUUUUAUUAGAUUUGGGUAUGUACACAUACAUAUUUAAGCUAGUUAACUGUUAGGGAGAUAUCCUUACUAUUUUUACAUGAUUUUGUUUAAGACAUAGGUACAAAUUAUACAAAUUUGGAAUGACGUUGAUCAGCUAAUCUUCAACUUAUGUUGUUAUUAUAAUUAAGCCUACAAUAAUUCAGCCUAUUAUAAUUAAGUCAAUAUGUAUAUGUGUCAAUAAUAAGGGUCUUCAUGACAGCAACGUUAGCAAAAAAUAUAGCAAGCAAUUUGUAAGAAAUUGGCUUUAAAACUCGUUGAUGGUGAAACAAUUUUAACAGGUGGAUGGAUAAGCAUAUGUGCUUAUCCAUCUA
Molecule: long non-coding RNA, 838 nt
Organism: Folsomia candida
Lineage: Eukaryota; Metazoa; Arthropoda; Collembola; Entomobryomorpha; Isotomidae
Exons: 3
Source: RefSeq, a predicted model, not a curated record